UCGUGCUAGACGGGGAGUCAGCGGUGCCCUGUACCUGCAAUCCGCUAUAGCAGGGUUGAAUUCCCGACUGAGGCUAUACUCUUUAGAGUCUGACCUCAACAAGUGGUGUUGAUAAUCGGGCCCUGUGCAAUAGAUACUUAUGAACCCCGCCAGAUCCGGAAGGAAGCAACGGUAAGUAAGUUUUUCUAUGUGCCGCAGGUCUACCUGAUUUGAGCUAACUAUUGAGGUAACGUCUGAAGGCUAUAUUCGAUGGAGGGUGCACGA
RNAcentral lists this signal recognition particle RNA (264 nucleotides) under Alkalibaculum sporogenes. Its description in RNAcentral is "Bacterial large signal recognition particle RNA". It matches the Rfam family "Bacterial large signal recognition particle RNA". Rfam says of the family: The signal recognition particle (SRP) is a universally conserved ribonucleoprotein involved in the co-translational targeting of proteins to membranes. Archaeal SRP consists of a 7S RNA and homologues of the eukaryotic SRP19 and SRP54 proteins. Lineage: Bacteria; Bacillati; Bacillota; Clostridia; Eubacteriales; Eubacteriaceae. The record is from Rfam by way of RNAcentral.